Molecule: transfer RNA, 73 nt
Filed under: Aphanomyces invadans
Lineage: Eukaryota; Oomycota; Saprolegniomycetes; Saprolegniales; Verrucalvaceae
Description: tRNA H310_08474
Rfam family: tRNA
About the family: Transfer RNA (tRNA) molecules are approximately 80 nucleotides in length.
Source: RNAcentral
GUGACGGUAGCUCAACGGUAGAGCGUCAGGUUAAAACCCUGAAGGUUGUCGGUUCGAUCCCGGCGUCGUCACU